CACCUGGUUGAUCCUGCCAGUAGUCAUAUGCUUGUCUCAAAGAUUAAGCCAUGCAUGUCUAAGUAUAAGCUUUAAACGGCGAAACUGCGAAUGGCUCAUUAAAACAGUUAUAGUUUAUUUGGUGAUCGAUUACUAUUUGGAUAACCGUAGUAAUUCUAGAGCUAAUACAUGCGUCAAGGCCCGACUUCGGAAGGGCUGCGUUUAUUAGAUACAGAACCAACCUAGGCUCCGCCUAGUCCUUGUUGGUGAUUCAUAAUAACCCGGCGAAUCGCACGGCUUGUCCGGCGAUGGACCAUUCAAGUUUCUGACCUAUCAGCUAUGGACGGUAGGGUAUUGGCCUACCGUGGCGUUGACGGGUAACGGGGAAUUAGGGUUCGAUUCCGGAGAGGGAGCCUGAGAAACGGCUACCACAUCUAAGGAAGGCAGCAGGCGCACAAAUUACCCAAUCCUGAUACAGGGAGGUAGUGACAAGAAAUAACAAUACAGGG
This 488-nucleotide non-coding RNA is filed under the name Perkinsus marinus ATCC 50983. Its description in RNAcentral is "Eukaryotic small subunit ribosomal RNA". It matches the Rfam family "Eukaryotic small subunit ribosomal RNA", at positions 1 to 490 of the family's 1831-position model. Lineage: Eukaryota; Perkinsozoa; Perkinsida; Perkinsidae. The record is from Rfam by way of RNAcentral.